Long non-coding RNA from Epinephelus fuscoguttatus (brown-marbled grouper), 1545 nucleotides. RefSeq lists it as uncharacterized. The record is from RefSeq and is a predicted model, not a curated record. The transcript is spliced from 4 exons. Lineage: Eukaryota; Metazoa; Chordata; Actinopteri; Perciformes; Serranidae.
UGAACUGUGACAUAUUUGAGUAAAUGACAAUAAAGCUCUAUAUCUUGUAUUUACUUCUUUAAACUGUAUUGCUUGAUUUCUGUGAUGCUUCCUUGUAUUUGUGUUACUCUCUCCCAUCGGCAGCGCUGGGUUAGGGUUAGGUAACUUUUGUUCUUAUCCCGCCAUGUUUCCCACUGUACCUACAACAGCGACUGGCCACGUAUCAUGCCGAUGUUAAAGAACAGCUUUUUUCGUCUGUGUCUGAUGCUGCAGGUCACUGCCCAAGCGCCGGAUUUUGAUGGCUUUGGAAUGAGACUGACACCCAGUCUCUGACCAUCCAGCACUGACAGAGGGUUCCUGAAGUGUCAUCGUCUGGGGUCACCGACCAAGUUUCAUAAGCCAUGGACAAAAGUGUGCUGCUGGUCCUGCUGUGUCUGCAGGCUCUUGUGCUCAUCACAGCCUUCAAUUCUACUGAUCCAACCACUCUGGAGAGAAAUGAUCUUCAGCAACAGGCUGUUGUUGUGGUGAAGAUUUGGACAAGAAAAUACAAAUCAAAGAAGAAAAAGCCCAAACAUGGAGGAUGUCAUGGGAGACCAGGGGCAUGUGGCUUCCCGGACCAGUAGUGUCUUGAUGGUAUACUGGAGCAAUACACCGACACCGUGUUCCCACUUGACAACCAACUAAAAAUCACCCCAAGAACAGAUCUCAUCACAGAAAAUGAUACUGCUUAUUGGUUCAUAAUUGUUGCGUAUGUUUUCUAUUUUGGAUGUAAAAGUAUAGUAAUCUACUUUGUUCCCCACAACCUUGUAAUUCGUUGUCUUCUUGCUGAUCUUAUCUAACCUCAAUGAGUUGCUUGUUUCGAAAUCAGAAGCAGAUCAUGACACAUACACUUACAAUAUUAAGGUAUCUUCUGACUCACCAGCCCUGCUAAAACUCAUUAACACUUGAUAUCUCCUUUGUUUCAUCUGUGGAUACAUUUUAAAAAGUGUAAAAGCAACAGUUUCAUGGGGGAGGUUUGGCUGAGAGCAUCACUACUGUGGAGUCUCCGCUUUAAUGACAAAUUGGCAUGUUUACACAGACUGAUCAAACGAGAUACACUGUGUUAAUUAGUGAGCUUUAGAGGUGUUGGUACCGUAGGUGGAUUUUGUUUCUUACCUUUGUACAGAGUGAGGCUAUAGCUGUUUCCACCCUAAGCUAACUCUCUGCUGGUUGUAGCUUUUUAUUUACCACAGAGAAGACGGUGGUGUCAAUCGUCAAUCUUCUCAUGUAACUACUACUUUGUUAGAUGAGGUACAUUUGCAGAACAAAUAAUCUUCUGUAAACAUGCCGUGUUUCCUAGUGACACAGACUUCAUAUCAGUUAAAUAAAUGUAUCAGCUAAAUUAAAAGAUUCAGGUCUUUAGAGAUACCCUGUGCUUACAAAUGUCUGCUUAUGAUCUGAUGUUCCAAGUGCUUCAUAAUGCAGCCACAAGAUGGAGCCAGACAGCCUUGUUUUUUAUACCAACAGCAGCAGCAGUUCACUUUGUGUUUUGAUGUAAAGUAAUUUGGUUUAAAUAAAAGUCCAUGU